RNAcentral lists this ribosomal RNA (427 nucleotides) under uncultured bacterium. RNAcentral's name for it is "partial 16S ribosomal RNA". It matches the Rfam family "Bacterial small subunit ribosomal RNA", at positions 354 to 796 of the family's 1533-position model. The record is from RNAcentral.
GUGAGGAAUCUUCCACAAUGGGCGAAAGCCUGAUGGAGCAACGCCGCGUGAAGGAUGAAGGUCUUCGGAUUGUAAACUUCUUUUAUGAGUGAAGAAUAUGACGGUAACUCAUGAAUAAGCACCGGCUAACUACGUGCCAGCAGCCGCGGUCAUACGUAGGGUGCAAGCAUUAUCCGGAGUGACUGGGCGUAAAGAGUUGCGUAGGCGGUUAUGUAAGCGAAUAGUGAAACCUGGUGGCUCAACCACACAGACUAUUAUUCGAACUGCAUAAAUCGAGAAUGGUAGAGGUAACUGGAAUUUCUUGUGUGGGAGUGAAAUCCGUAGAUAUAAGAAGGAACACCAAUGGCGUAGGCAGGUUACUGGGCCAUUUCUGACGCUAAGGCACGAAAGCGUGGGGAGCGAACCGGAUUAGAAACCCCUGUAGUCC